This 1343-nucleotide ribosomal RNA is filed under the name uncultured bacterium. RNAcentral's name for it is "16S ribosomal RNA". It matches the Rfam family "Bacterial small subunit ribosomal RNA", at positions 28 to 1378 of the family's 1533-position model. The record is from RNAcentral.
GACGAACGCUGGCGGCGUGCUUAACACAUGCAAGUCGAACGGAAAGGCCCUGCUUUUGUGGGGUGCUCGAGUGGCGAACGGGUGAGUAACACGUGAGUAACCUGCCCUUGACUUUGGGAUAACUUCAGGAAACUGGGGCUAAUACCGGAUAGGAGCUCCUGCUGCAUGGUGGGGGUUGGAAAGUUUCGGCGGUUGGGGAUGGACUCGCGGCUUAUCAGCUUGUUGGUGGGGUAGUGGCUUACCAAGGCUUUGACGGGUAGCCGGCCUGAGAGGGUGACCGGCCACAUUGGGACUGAGAUACGGCCCAGACUCCUACGGGAGGCAGCAGUGGGGAAUAUUGCACAAUGGGCGGAAGCCUGAUGCAGCAACGCCGCGUGCGGGAUGACGGCCUUCGGGUUGUAAACCGCUUUCGCCCGUGACGAAGCGUGAGUGACGGUAAUGGGUAAAGAAGCACCGGCUAACUACGUGCCAGCAGCCGCGGUGAUACGUAGGGUGCGAGCGUUGUCCGGAUUUAUUGGGCGUAAAGGGCUCGUAGGUGGUUGAUCGCGUCGGAAGUGUAAUCUUGGGGCUUAACCCUGAGCGUGCUUUCGAUACGGGUUGACUUGAGGAAGGUAGGGGAGAAUGGAAUUCCUGGUGGAGCGGUGGAAUGCGCAGAUAUCAGGAGGAACACCAGUGGCGAAGGCGGUUCUCUGGGCCUUUCCUGACGCUGAGGAGCGAAAGCGUGGGGAGCGAACAGGCUUAGAUACCCUGGUAGUCCACGCUGUAAACGGUGGGUACUAGGUGUGGGGUCCAUUCCACGGGUUCCGUGCCGUAGCUAACGCUUUAAGUACCCCGCCUGGGGAGUACGGCCGCAAGGCUAAAACUCAAAGGAAUUGACGGGGCCCCGCACAAGCGGCGGAGCAUGCGGAUUAAUUCGAUGCAACGCGUAGAACCUUACCUGGGUUUGACAUGGAUCGGGAGUGCUCAGAGAUGGGUGUGCCUCUUUUGGGGUCGGUUCACAGGUGGUGCAUGCCUGUCGUCAGCUCGUGUCGUGAGAUGUUGGGUUAAGUCCCGCAACGAGCGCAACCCUUGUUCACUGUUGCCAGCACGUUAUGGUGGGGACUCAGUGGAGACCGCCGGGGUCAACUCGGAGGAAGGUGGGGAUGACGUCAAGUCAUCAUGCCCCUUAUGUCCAGGGCUUCACGCAUGCUACAAUGGCUGGUACAGAGAGUGGCGAGCCUGUGAGGGUGAGCGAAUCUCGGAAAGCCGGUCUCAGUUCGGAUUGGGGUCUGCAACUCGACCUCAUGAAGUCGGAGUCGCUAGUAAUCGCAGAUCAGCAACGCUGCGGUGAAUAAGUUCCCGGG